AGCGAGCGGCGGACGGGUGAGUAACACGUGGGUAACCUGCCCAAGAGACUGGGAUAACACCUGGAAACAGAUGCUAAUACCGGAUAACAACACUAGACGCAUGUCUAGAGUUUAAAAGAUGGUUCUGCUAUCACUCUUGGAUGGACCUGCGGUGCAUUAGCUAGUUGGUAAGGUAACGGCUUACCAAGGCAAUGAUGCAUAGCCGAGUUGAGAGACUGAUCGGCCACAUUGGGACUGAGACACGGCCCAAACUCCUACGGGAGGCAGCAGUAGGGAAUCUUCCACAAUGGACGCAAGUCUGAUGGAGCAACGCCGCGUGAGUGAAGAAGGGUUUCGGCUCGUAAAGCUCUGUUGGUAGUGAAGAAAGAUAGAGGUAGUAACUGGCCUUUAUUUGACGGUAAUUACUUAGAAAGUCACGGCUAACUACGUGCCAGCAGCCGCGGUAAUACGUAGGUGGCAAGCGUUGUCCGGAUUUAUUGGGCGUAAAGCGAGUGCAGGCGGUUCAAUAAGUCUGAUGUGAAAGCCUUCGGCUCAACCGGAGAAUUGCAUCAGAAACUGUUGAACUUGAGUGCAGAAGAGGAGAGUGGAACUCCAUGUGUAGCGGUGGAAUGCGUAGAUAUAUGGAAGAACACCAGUGGCGAAGGCGGCUCUCUGGUCUGCAACUGACGCUGAGGCUCGAAAGCAUGGGUAGCGAACAGGAUUAGAUACCCUGGUAGUCCAUGCCGUAAACGAUGAGUGCUAAGUGUUGGGAGGUUUCCGCCUCUCAGUGCUGCAGCUAACGCAUUAAGCACUCCGCCUGGGGAGUACGACCGCAAGGUUGAAACUCAAAGGAAUUGACGGGGGCCCGCACAAGCGGUGGAGCAUGUGGUUUAAUUCGAAGCAACGCG
This 887-nucleotide ribosomal RNA is filed under the name Lactobacillus gasseri. Its description in RNAcentral is "bacterial SSU rRNA". It matches the Rfam family "Bacterial small subunit ribosomal RNA", at positions 90 to 963 of the family's 1533-position model. Lineage: Bacteria; Bacillati; Bacillota; Bacilli; Lactobacillales; Lactobacillaceae. The record is from RNAcentral.